AACCACAGCACCCAGGAUUCCCGCGUGGUCCCCCACCGUGGUACU
Molecule: ribosomal RNA, 45 nt
Filed under: Armillaria sp.
Lineage: Eukaryota; Fungi; Basidiomycota; Agaricomycetes; Agaricales; Physalacriaceae
Source: RNAcentral